This 672-nucleotide ribosomal RNA is filed under the name Rhaphiomidas forficatus. RNAcentral describes it as "partial 16S ribosomal RNA". The record is from RNAcentral. Lineage: Eukaryota; Metazoa; Arthropoda; Insecta; Diptera; Mydidae.
AUGUCAACAUGAGCCAACCUUGGAUUACAAAAUAGAGCCUCCCCAUUAAUGGAACAACUAACCUUUUUCCAUGACCACACACUACUAAUUUUAGUAAUAAUUACAAUUAUAGUAGGUUACCUGAUAUCUAUACUAUUUUUUAAUAAUUAUACUAACCGAUUCUUACUCCACGGACAAACUAUUGAAAUAAUCUGAACAAUUCUGCCUGCUAUUAUUCUUCUAUUUAUCGCCUUCCCCUCCCUCCGACUAUUAUAUUUAUUAGAUGAAAUUAAUGACCCAGCAAUUACGUUAAAGUCUAUUGGGCAUCAAUGAUAUUGAAGCUAUGAAUAUUCAGAUUUUAUUGACUUAGAAUUUGACUCUUACAUAAUUCCAACCAAUGAACUUCCCAUUGAUGGAUUCCGUUUACUAGACGUAGAUAACCGAGUAAUUAUCCCAAUAAAUACACAAAUUCGUGUAUUAGUAACUGCAGCUGACGUAAUUCACUCCUGAACAGUCCCAGCCCUUGGAGUAAAAGUAGACGGAACCCCAGGACGCUUAAACCAAACUAACUUUACAGUUAGACGCCCAGGACUAUUUUUUGGGCAAUGUUCAGAAAUUUGCGGGGCCAACCACAGCUUCAUACCAAUUGUAAUUGAAAGUGUCUACCCGUCCCAUUUUAUUAAAUGAAUCUCU